CGUACAAGCAGUGGGAGCACGCUUAGGCGUGUGACUGCGUACCUUUUGUAUAAUGGGUCAGCGACUUAUAUUCUGUAGCAAGGUUAACCGAAUAGGGGAGCCGAAGGGAAACCGAGUCUUAACUGGGCGUUAAGUUGCAGGGUAUAGACCCGAAACCCGGUGAUCUAGCCAUGGGCAGGUUGAAGGUUGGGUAACACUAACUGGAGGACCGAACCGACUAAUGUUGAAAAAUUAGCGGAUGACUUGUGGCUGGGGGUGAAAGGCCAAUCAAACCGGGAGAUAGCUGGUUCUCCCCGAAAGCUAUUUAGGUAGCGCCUCGUGAAUUCAUCUCCGGGGGUAGAGCACUGUUUCGGCAAGGGGGUCAUCCCGACUUACCAACCCGAUGCAAACUGCGAAUACCGGAGAAUGUUAUCACGGGAGACACACGGCGGGUGCUAACGUCCGUCGUGAAGAGGGAAACAACCCAGACCGCCAGCUAAGGUCCCAAAGUCAUGGUUAAGUGGGAAACGAUGUGGGAAGGCCCAGACAGCCAGGAUGUUGGCUUAGAAGCAGCCAUCAUUUAAAGAAAGCGUAAUAGCUCACUGGUCGAGUCGGCCUGCGCGGAAGAUGUAACGGGGCUAAACCAUGCACCGAAGCUGCGGCAGCGACGCUGAUGCGUUGUUGGGUAGGGGAGCGUUCUGUAAGCCUGCGAAGGUGUGCUGUGAGGCAUGCUGGAGGUAUCAGAAGUGCGAAUGCUGACAUAAGUAACGAUAAAGCGGGUGAAAAGCCCGCUCGCCGGAAGACCAAGGGUUCCUGUCCAACGUUAAUCGGGGCAGGGUGAGUCGACCCCUAAGGCGAGGCCGAAAGGCGUAGUCGAUGGGAAACAGGUUAAUAUUCCUGUACUUGGUGUUACUGCGAAGGGGGGACGGAGA
RNAcentral lists this ribosomal RNA (911 nucleotides) under Escherichia coli. RNAcentral describes it as "bacterial LSU rRNA". It matches the Rfam family "Bacterial large subunit ribosomal RNA", at positions 563 to 1478 of the family's 2925-position model. The record is from RNAcentral. Lineage: Bacteria; Pseudomonadati; Pseudomonadota; Gammaproteobacteria; Enterobacterales; Enterobacteriaceae.